Molecule: ribosomal RNA, 408 nt
Filed under: uncultured rumen bacterium
Lineage: Bacteria
Description: bacterial SSU rRNA
Rfam family: Bacterial small subunit ribosomal RNA
Source: RNAcentral
GUGGGGAAUAUUGGGCAAUGGGCGCAAGCCUGACCCAGCAACGCCGCGUGAGGGAAGAAGGCCUUCGGGUUGUAAACCUCUGUCCUAUGGGAAGAACGAAAUGACGGUACCAUAGGAGGAAGCUCCGGCUAACUACGUGCCAGCAGCCGCGGUAAUACGUAGGGAGCAAGCGUUGUCCGGAAUUACUGGGCGUAAAGGGUGCGUAGGCGGUUACUUAAGUCAGAUGUGAAAUAUCAGGGCUCAACUCUGGGGCUGCAUCUGAUACUGGGCAACUAGAGUGCAGGAGAGGAAAGUGGAAUUCCUAGUGUAGCGGUGGAAUGCGUAGAUAUUAGGAGGAACACCAGUGGCGAAGGCGACUUUCUGGACUGUAACUGACGCUGAGGCACGAAAGUGUGGGGAGCAAACAGG